ACCUGUGAUGAUCAUAUGUUAUAUCAAAAUCAACGAUCAUAUAACCAUAAUCCAACAUGUAUGUUCAAAGGUUAUAAACACAUCUAUAGGCCAUUUCAAAAGUUAUACAAGACAGGACCCCCAAAAUACGACACAAUAGAGUAUAAGCUCAAAACAACAGCCCACAAAAUAACCCUACAGGUCGUCAUCCAUGUACAUUGAUCUUUGGAAUCCUGUAAGAGCUCCACAGCUAGCCGUGCCCUCUACAUAGUUUCAUGCUCACCUACAAUGCAAGAACAACAUAAGCUAAUGCUUAGUAAGCAAGAAUCAUACAUGUUAUGAGUAUGAGUAACAAGGAUAUGUGACACCAUGUCAUUUACUUUAAACAUCGUGCUAAAGAUGCUUCAUAUUUCAAUAUUCAUCAAAGUCGACUCGAAAUUAUUUCAUUUGAAAUCUUUCAUUUCAUUGGGCCCUUGACCCACCAACUAUGCACCGAAUAGAGCCCUAUGAUCACCCAAGAAGUCUCCCACCCGACUGCGCCAAUAAUCAUAACAAGGGCAUAGUCGAGUGGUCCGCCCUCCCGUGAUCACCAAAGGCCCAUCCCCUGUCUAUCUUUGAAAUCACCCAGGAAGUAUCACCCGCGAUGCCAAACAUAUCACAUAAGCAUGCCUCACAUGCCUCGGUGCCCUAGUAGUGGUCAAUAAAACAUUUAUAAAGAAAACUUACUUUGAAAUCAUGUUUUGCAUGCAAAGUUUUCAACCAUGAUCAUAUGUUGUGCAUGCCAACGAAAAUGCUCAUGAAUGACAUGCUUAAUGGAAGUUGAUGUCAAUGUAUUUUGCAACCGCAUACUCAAUGAUCAUAAUCAUCAUAUAGGGUACAACGAGCUUUCUUAUCAAAGUAUGAAAAUAUCCUAACAUCACUAUACCACAAAUGCUAGGUUCUUGCAUCAUAGUUGCGAAUUGAUUUUCACUUACCUUUUUGCCCUUGUGUGUGCACAAGCUCCUACGGAGAUUAUAUCACUUUCCUUUUUCACUCAACGUCGGAAAAUCACCUGUAUUACCAUUUAAUAUUAAAGACAAUCCUCCAUUUAAUAGCCUUAACACACACAAAAUCCCAAAAUACUUCCAUUCACGUCAAAAUAAUUUAAACGAAUUCAUUAUUCAAGUUACUAACGGCAUUACAAUCUCGUCCCAUAAGUCUCAUUUUUCCUCGAGUCCAAUUACCAACAUCAACGUCAUCCAAUUGUUGUCAACAACCUAAUACUCCUUAGAAUCUAUUUUCUAGGCCCAAGAGAUAAUUAAUUUACAUGUAAAGGUUGAAAUCAUAUUAAACACAGAAAUGGACAGAACCUGUUUUUCGGGUUUCAUCACCGUCCAACUACUUUUCCAAUCCGUUUUCACCCCCUUAUCCAUAUCCAAUGACUUCCAAAUUUUUACCACGUUUCUAUAACAUGUAUGUGAAGGCAAUAAUCCUCUAAAGUCGUGACAAAUCAAGUGUUCUCAGCAUCAAAAUAGUCCAUUUCCACGACAUCAAAAUCAGGCAGUUUUCAUUGUGACAGCUUUCGGUUUCCAUUUUAUUAGCAUGUCAUCAAACAGAUUCCAGGCUAUUAGAAAACCAUUUAUAUCCUUCUAAAUCCAAUAUAAAAACAUUCAUUUACAUAGAUACAAGUUAUAUCUUCAGUAUUAUCCAAAAUCAAAGUUUAAACCAUCCAAAUUCAUCAAUCAACACAUCUCUAUUUCUGUUGGUUUCUUUCAGGUUCUUGUACUCAAUUACCCCUCUCUUUUGCCAUCAUAAAAUCAUAAACAACCCUUAUACUUAGCCUCAAGUAAGUUUAUAGUUUAAACAUAUUAUAAAACAAGCAAAAGAACUAAAGAAAAACUUCAAAACCGUGAGCUAAACUCACCUAUCCAGAAAUUCAAUUUCAGCUCCUUGUUUCUGCUUCUCUCUUUUCCUUUUUGCUUUCUCUUUCAAUCGGUGGUCAAUUGGGGAUAAUUUGUAAGACUAAACAUGUUGUUAGGAGGUGUAUAUAAAGUCUUCAAGAUGCUGGAGACGUGACUCUUCCUUCAGGAUUAAGAAAAUGUGGGGUGCAGCAAAGUGUUUAGCAUGAGGUGGUCUUUUCCUACUAUAUUUGACUUUUCUCUUGGACUAUUUAACUUAUAUUGGUUUAUAAGAUAUAUAUA
This 2159-nucleotide long non-coding RNA is filed under the name Olea europaea (common olive). RNAcentral describes it as "long non-coding RNA (OEUR_LNC015530)". The record is from RNAcentral. Lineage: Eukaryota; Viridiplantae; Streptophyta; Magnoliopsida; Lamiales; Oleaceae.